AAUUUUUUUUACUAUAAAUAGCCAUGGGAGGGAAGGGUAUUUUGCACCAAGAGAAGAGGAAUCAAGUGAGAGCUUGAGAAAUAGAGAAGAAAUAGUUAGGGAGAAAUUUUUAGUUGCAAGAAGAGUAGAGGUUCUGAAGAGUUUUCGGGGAAACAAAUUCGGAGCAGGAGAUUAAGUCUGGAAUAGAGAUGAAGGAAUGUCGCCUCACAUAGUGCCAAGGAAAGGGAGGAGUAGAAGAACUAUAAUUAGAAUCUUUUUACAUGUAUAGACUUAUAUUAACUAGGAAAUUUUAAAGGGUGAGAUUACGGAAUGUUACCGUAAAUGUAAUGUUAAUUAUCAAGUGUGAAAAUUUGGGAUGUUACAUUAGUGUAAAAAGUUGGAUUGUUACAUUAAUGUGAGAAUUUGGGAUGUUACAUGAUAUGCCAAACUCAUAAAUGCACAUUUCAAUGGAGG
This 453-nucleotide small RNA is filed under the name Vigna angularis var. angularis. RNAcentral describes it as "Non-protein coding transcript". Lineage: Eukaryota; Viridiplantae; Streptophyta; Magnoliopsida; Fabales; Fabaceae. The record is from RNAcentral.